RNAcentral lists this ribosomal RNA (47 nucleotides) under Limenitis pausanias. RNAcentral describes it as "partial 5.8S ribosomal RNA". Lineage: Eukaryota; Metazoa; Arthropoda; Insecta; Lepidoptera; Nymphalidae. The record is from RNAcentral.
GUGCGGUCCGUGGAGAAACAUCCAGGACCACUCCUGUCCGAGGGCCG